Molecule: non-coding RNA, 45 nt
Filed under: Trichobilharzia regenti
Lineage: Eukaryota; Metazoa; Platyhelminthes; Trematoda; Strigeidida; Schistosomatidae
Source: RNAcentral
GUCCAGAUGAUGAGUCCCAAAUAGGACGAAAUGUGCAUCCUAGAU